This 81-nucleotide transfer RNA is filed under the name Anguilla anguilla (European eel). RNAcentral describes it as "tRNA-Leu". It matches the Rfam family "tRNA". Rfam says of the family: Transfer RNA (tRNA) molecules are approximately 80 nucleotides in length. Lineage: Eukaryota; Metazoa; Chordata; Actinopteri; Anguilliformes; Anguillidae. The record is from RNAcentral.
GGUAGCAUGGCCGAGCGGUCCAAGGUGCUGGAUUAAGGCUCCGGUCUCUUCGGAGGCGAGGGUCGAAUCUCUCCGCUGCCA